CCCAGAACAAACCAAAACCAAACCAAACAUGAAGACCACCACAAAAAGUAGGCUGGUUCGAAGCGCAGUGAUGAGAACUCGGGACAGUACGGACGUGGAGGCGCCCACAGCGCCCUUCUUGUCGCCGCGGUGUGGCCACACACCCCGCACCCUUGUGCCAGGCACAGGAGCCUGCCUCUCCCAGUGCCCCCCAGGGACGCCUGAUGGGGCAGGGUCGGACUGGGGACAGCACUCUCCGGCCCCCCUCAGCGUUCGAGGAGCUCCCGCAGACCUCACCGCUUUUCUGGCUCUCCCUCAAUGCGUGGCUCUUCUGGAAAACCUUCCUGCUCUAUUAUCAAGGGCUGCAGUAUUAUUAUUUGCAUCAGAUGUUAGGGGAUUGUGUGUUAGCAGAGCUUCAGCAUCUGUCCUCAAUCUCAACUGCUGCCUGGUCCUUCUACCCAUGUGCCGUGUUCUCUUGGCCUUCCUGCGGGGAUCCCAGAAGGUUGCCAGCCGGAAAACCAGAAGGCUGCUAGAUAAAAGUAAAACUUUCCAUGUGACGUGUGGUGUUACAAUAUGCAUCUUUUCAGUCUUACAUGUUGCUGCUCAUCUGGUGAACGCUCUUAACUUCUCUGAGAACUACAAUGAAGACUUCCUGUCACUAAAUGCAGCAAACUAUCGCGGUGAGGACCCGAGGAAACUGCUUUUUGCUACUGUUCCAGGUCUGACUGGAGUCAUUAUGGUGUUGGUAUUAUUCCUAAUGUGUACAGCUUCUACCUAUGCCAUCAGGGUUUCAAACUAUGACAUCUUCUGGUAUACACACAACCUUUUCUUUGUCUUCUAUAUGCUGCUGAUGCUGCAUGUUUCUGGGGGGGUGCUGAAGUACCAGACCAACUUAGAGGAACACCCUCCUGGUUGCUUUAAUCCUAACAAAACACUCCGAGAGAACAUGACGGUGCCAAAGGCUUUUGAAGAGUCGUUUCCUGACUAUACUACCGAGCCUUUCCCAGAGGACUUAUCAGUACCAGAACCCUUUGUACAAAAUAACUUUAUGAGAAUUUGUUCCGAGGAACCCAAGUUCCAGUCACACUUCCCAGAGACCUGGUUUUGGAUUUCCGGACCUCUGUGCUUGUACUGCGUGGAAAGGCUGUACCGCUACAUCCGCAGCAAUAAACCAGUCACCAUAACUUCGGUGAUAAGCCAUCCCUCCAAUGUCCUUGAAGUAAGGAUGAUAAAAGACGACUUUAAAGCAAGGCCUGGUCAGUAUGUUAUUCUACACUGUCCGAGAGUGUCGGCACUGGAAAGCCAUCCAUUCACCCUUACAAUGUGCCCUACAGAUACCAAAGCAACGUUUGGGGUCCACCUUAAAGUAGUAGGAGACUGGACAGAAAGAUUUCGGGAUUUACUGCUUCUCCAUUCAAACCAAGAUACAGAGAUUCUGCCCAUCUUUCAGCAGAGGCGCUAUCCCAAACUGUAUGUGGAUGGACCCUUUGGAAGUCCCUUUGAGGAAUCCCUGAACUACGAGGUCAGCCUCUGUGUGGCUGGAGGUAUUGGAGUUACACCAUUCGCAUCAGUGCUCAACACGCUGCUUGACGGCUGGAAAUGCUACAAGCUGAGAAGACUCUACUUCAUUUGGGUGUGCCGGGACAUUGAGUCUUUCCGCUGGUUUGCAGACCUGCUCUGUACGUUGCAUAGCAAGCUUUGGCAGGAGAAUCGACCAGACUAUAUAAACAUCCAGCUGUACCUCAGUCAAACAGAUGGAAUACAGAAAAUAAUUGGUGAAAAAUAUCAAGCUUUAAACUCAAGGCUUUUGAUUGGACGACCCCGGUGGAAACUCCUUUUUGAUGAAAUAGCGAAGUGUAACAGGCGGAAGACCAUUGGAGUUUUCUGUUGUGGACCAAACAAAAUCUCUAAGAUCCUUCAUAAACUGAGCAACAGCAGCAACUCCUAUGGGACAAGCCAGGUCAUCUGACAAUGAAAUCAGUCCACAGUACAUUUAGCAGAGCACCAUUAACGAACCAGUGCUUUCCACCCUGCCAGUCUCCCAUAAAUUUAUGAGAAGACAGUCCAGGCCUCUAAGUCCUUAUUACCAGAUCUUCCGGACACAUUCAGCUCUGUGACGAAAUAGCCAGCACAUUUUUGCCAUGUUCUUGUCUUUGCAUGAAGGGAUCACAAGUGAAGAACUUCAGCUUUUAGCACUUCUCCCAGAAGUAUAUUUUCUUCUGCGGUGUGUAAGGACUAUGUAUUUGCAAUAGCUUGCACGUAGGAGUGAAGGUGAGUAAUGACAUUAAUGUUGCAAAAAAGCUCAUCAGCAUCAGUCAGAGGUGGAGCAGAACAGGAUCUGAUUAGGAGGAGGGCUGUAUUGGUAUGCAAGGCGAGGAAGGCCUGCUGCGUGGCUCUGCCCUACGAGUUAGGAGGCUCCGCAGACUGCUUUCCUUUAUUCAUAUUUAUGGCGCUGUUGUCAGAAGUGCCUGGGAAGAUGUACAGCGGUUUGAAAAUGUAGCACGGUGAAAUGGUUGUGCUUAAAUUUUUCAAGAAGCCAUUCAAACCAGGAACAUUUUAACAUUGUUAUGAUUGCAGGAAAAUAUGUGAAAAUUUGUCCACAAUAUGUAAUUGGCCUGAAAAUACCUUAUUUGCUUAUUAUUGCCUGAGCAUGUUUCUUUUACUAGAAAACAAUGAGGAAAAUCAGGGAGGUGUUUUUAUGCACACGAGUUCCUGUAAAAUCUGGGUGACACACUGGGACAGACACGGUGUAGGUACAACCCCUGUGGGCUGUUUCGCGUUGCCAUCACGAUACCAGCCACAGUAAUGUGGGACAGCCCCACCACUGAGCCCUCAAGGAUGCCUUUUCCUGACGGAUAAAGUGGUGCAGUGAGGGGUGACAGGAGAGGGAAGGCUGAAUCAAGUUGCACGAAGGGAGAUGAUCUGACAUGCCAAGCCACAGUUAGGGUCCAGAAUUAAUGUUUAUAGCCAAGUUCUUGUUUCAAAAGGGAUUUUGUGUGUAUGCAGGGAAAGAACUAGUUUCUCUACAUAUUUUAGAAUCCAGUAGGUUUCCAAAAGUUUUUAGCACUGUGUGAAUUCUGCAUGCCUGACGCCCUCAAGAGAAGGAGAUAACAGGCAGGCUCAUGGGGAAAUGUCCACGUAUAAAACAGGACAUCAAAAAUCCUAAUGGAUGCAAGAUGGAUACGGAGAAAUAAGUUGGUUUUCUGUAGUUAUAACAGCUACUUCAUAUCUAAUUCAGAGCUUAUUGCAAAAAAUUACAGCAAAAGGCCAUUUUUAAUGGUAAGGUCUCAUCGCUGCCAAUUUUCAGCUCACUAUGGAGAGCAAUUCAAAAUGACUUGCAUCCCUGCACACAUGUGUAUACACAGGUGGUGAAUUACAGAUUUAACUCAAUGGAGAGGACAGGUGCUAAAAAUACAAAUUUUGGGAAAAUGUGGGAGGGGGAACAGAAUGAAAAAGACUGCCAGCAGCUCAUUGUCCUGCCUCGACUGAAUGUGACUCUUAAUAGUCUGGGGAAGAAAGACACCAGGCUAGAAAAUGAAAGACUUCACAGAAGUAACAAUGUCCUGCAAAGGCGAGAGACGUACAAUGCUGAGCAUGUUAUAAGGAAGCUGCCAUGUAUCCUGUAGAAGAUUUCUGAACAUCAGCCAUAUGGUGUUUUUGUUUCAUUACAUGAAAAAACAUGGUCCUGAUACUGCAAAUACAUCCCUGGAUACUGAAGCUGGUGGGAUCCUCACCUAACAAGUACUUUCAGACAAACCCAACUUCAAUGCCCGCUGGGGUCAAGGUUUAUGUGAUGGCAUGGUCUAGACUUUAUGGCCCCAAUCACUGUAAUGACCCGUUUUUGGCAUUGAUCCUGACAGAAUGUCCUCCCCAAGCCUGAGCCAACUGCCUAAUGCCCAUGGGAAGGUUCUUAUUGCAAGUCAUCUUGGCCAGACAGAGGAAACGGUAAAGGCGGAGUUGCAUUUUAAGUUCUGCCCACUCUAAUUCAACGAGAUUACAUAGCAAGCACAGCCUCAUGGCAUUACAUUAUUCCCAAGAAAAAAAAAUGCAGGAGCUCUAGCUCCCAUCUCAGGGAAGCAUCCGUGAAGAAAGCAGGUCCUUCAACACUUAACUUACAUAGGUCUGAGCACAGGAGUAACGCAACCCUGAACAUGACGCUGAGAAUUAAAAUGAGGUGCCAUUGCAUUUGUAGCCUGCAGACAGAAUGCCCAAUGUCUCCUGUCAGCGCAGGUGAGAUGUGCCAAGAAAUCAUUCAGUGCCAGGGUACUGAAAGAGUCCUCUCCCUUCUUCUGACCCAUCCAAAAACUAGAUGGCUGGUCCCAGCCGACAUGCAGAGUCCCCAAAAAGGCAAUGGGAAGGCUUAGGCAUGUCAGCAGGACAAUUUCUGCCGUCCCAAAAUAGGUGCUUUAAGAUCGGUGCAGUCAACGCCACCUGACAGUCAGUCCCCACUUCCCACUGUGGAGGAACCUAAAGAGCUUGCUCAGAAAAGAGGAGCAGUUGGGUUUUCAAGUGCUCAGAGUCAGAUACAUUUCUGAAGAGUUUUAACCACAAACUAUCAGGCCAGCGGUCUCAGCAGAAACCCCUUGAUGGAGAGAACUGGCAUGCGUUGCUUGUACCGAUUGUGUCCUAGUUACUAAGAUUAAUAUACACUGUACUAUUUAUCCCCUGCUUUGGUGUUCUUUGUUUCCUCUCAAAGCAGACGCAGUCUCCAAGUCAUAUGGUGAGUGGGAGUUAUAGGGGAAAAAUGCUUGGGGAUAUGCCUACAAGUAUGAAGAGGAUGCAAAUUCCCUUUCAUCAAUUAGGGCUAGGUUGAGGUCUCUGUGAUGAAACUUCUGGGGGAAGAAAACAGGCUGUUAGAUCCUCCACUGAAGAAAAGGGAAAGGAAGAAGCUUGCCUAGGAAUUGGCAGGUGUUCUGAGAUGAGCAUAAAGAGACUUUAGCUAAUAGAUCACAAGGUUUGGCCACAAGGUUCCAUGCUUUUGGGGAAGAAGGGAAGAUCAAGAGCUGGCAAGAUUUAGAAGACCUGAUGAGCCAAAGCUCCACUUCCAUCCUUCCAUGGAUGGUGAGUUCCUGUGGCCAAAGGAGGAAGGCCCAGGGAACAAUGGUGAAGACCUUCUGUGGAGAAGACCCCAACAGCUGAGGAGCUGAAUCAGAAAUUACUUGUUGGCUGUAUCCUUUGCAAGGAGGUGACAUAUGGUAAAAAUUACUUUAGCAGGUAUGAAAAUGAGGCACUUUCACCAGAGAUAGUGAAAUAACCAUGGAAUAUUGCAAUGGUUGCGAUAAACUUGCUUAAUAUAGUUAGAAUUUUUCGAUCAGAGCAACUUUUCAAAGGAAAAUAUCACUUUACAGACAUGAAACAUUUUGCAGAAAGACAUUGUUUUCAACAGACUUCCAGUGUAACACAGGAGUUGUCUUCCUGCCAGGCAUCCACCCAACCAGGGAUCAUGGCUCUGCUGCGGUCUGUCUCAGGCUGCUGCAGCCAUUCAGACUGUCUCAAAGUUGGACAUUUGGGAUUCUGGAGGUGCAAGACUCCAACAUAUUCCUGUCACAUUCUAACUCCAGGUCUGGGGACCCCAGAGACGUACGAUCUCCAGGGUCCCACAGGAGACACCUCUUUGGGAAGCUCCUGGGGGCCCGUGGGAUUUCUACUCUCCCUCCAUAGACUGAACAUGGCUUUAUACCUCAACUCCACUGCAGCUGCCACCAUUUGUGUGUUCGCAGCUCUCCAUCCGCUCAGUAGAACCGAGUGGGAGCAGAGAGUCCAGGAUUUCCAGGACAGAAUGAGCCCCGUGAGCACAGCAGUAACUACGCCUCCAAUCACAGCUGCUCCAACCAGCCAAGCCCAGAUCUGACGGGCUUGCUCAAGGUGGUCAAAGGAAAUAGAGACUUCCACAAUCAAGAACCAGGAAGAUGAACCGGGAGGGCUUCAAGUUAUUGACUCCCUCAGUCUGUUUUAAGGCGGGAUCACUCGUCUUUGCAGUGGUGCAAAGUUCACAGCUCCUACUAACUUAAUCAGGGUCUCCUCAUUAUUACAGCUUGGAAAGUCUAGUGGGAGGUGUCCCUGCCCAGGGCAGGGGGUUGGAACUAGAUGAUCUUUCAGGCUCCUUCCAACCCAAACCGUGCUGUGAUUCUGUCUUUGGACUGCAAGGGAUGCCGUGCGAUGGAUGGCAGUGGGCUGUUCAUGGCAGAGCUGCAGUACCUGUUGAUGUCCCUGGUGACAAGUGAUAGGACGAGGGGAAACGGGUUCAAGUUACGUCAGGGGAGGUUUAGAUUAGAUAUUAGGAAACAUUUUUUCACUGAAAGGGUUAUUAAACAUUGGAAUAGGCUGCCCAGGGAGGUGGUGGAUUCACCAUCCCUGGAGGUGUUUAAAAAAAGGGUAGAUGGGGCACUGAGGGACAUGGUUUAGAAGUGGCUUUUGUCAGGGUAGGCUAAAGGUUGGACUCGAUGAUCUUAGAGGUCCCUUCCAACCUCAGCAAUUCUAUGAUUCUGUGAUUCUAUGUACGCCCGAGACGCUCCCUGUCAGUUCUGCCUCCAGCCCAAGGCGGGUAAAUCAGGAAACUAUGGCCCACCCUUCAUCAUGUGGCUGCCUAGAAACAGUGAGAAUCAGACCAUUUCUGCACGGCUCGUAACAGCUUCUGAAGUCAUUUUUCAGUGCUGAAGUUGAUCAGAGCGUCGCCGCCUGUUGCUUCUGCAGAGUAACGUUGCUGUGGAGCCCUGCUCACCCAACGGCAAGGAUGGCACAUCCGCAGAGCGGAUUACUGGCAAAAAUUGAUUAUAUUGGAUUAUUGAGAGGAGAUAAGUCAAAUAUUCCUUGAUAUAUUUAUAGAGCAAUACCGUUUACUUUUUGUUUGGCAACCUCACUUAACACUUGCGCUUCAUAACUGCGCUUUCACAGUUUGCUGAUAAAAAUUUCUCUAAAAAGAGGUGAGAUCUAGCUAUAGGAUACCUGGUAUUAGCACACUAUAUGCUACCAGGGUGUUAAUAACUCACGAAAAGAUAGCUUCCUACCCCUAAAUGGCUCCCAUGCGAAAGAAAAUAAAAAACCCCUGUUUUUAAAAGCCAUAUUUCUCUUCCUUCAUUAAGCAUCAUUAUGUAACCACCAAAAUACCUGCUCGUACUCUUCUUUCUGAGCAAUGUAUUUUUGCAUCCUGUUUUCUUUUGGUUCUUUCCUCCUGUUUCAAUUAACCUUAAUCUACACCUCCUUAUCUCUGCCUGAAGAAAACCCAGGGACCAAAAUGCUCUCUUCUCGUCUUUUAUUUAAUCCAUAAAUGUAAACCACUUUCCAAGGUAGUAUUGUCACCUUUAAUUGCUUUCUAUUGUCCCAGCAUCCACGUUUUAUUGUGCACGUCACUGUUUUAUUGCGGGCUCUUGCACGCCUAACUUCUCCCUUUCACGUCGUGCCCAACAGUGUGUGCUCCUGAGUCUGGAAACCCAGCGGAGUCUCUC
This is an RNA transcript of Chroicocephalus ridibundus (black-headed gull), 7424 nucleotides long. It is a transcript of the gene named NADPH oxidase 4, with no coding region annotated. NCBI's taxonomy places the organism in Eukaryota, Metazoa, Chordata, Aves, Charadriiformes, Laridae. The transcript is spliced from 21 exons. The record is from RefSeq and is a predicted model, not a curated record.